AUGUCAUUGAUCAUUGCCACUUUCGCAGCGCUUGCUUUGUGCUUCGCCCCUGCUCCGGGUGCAGCGGCGAUCUCCGCGCGGCGUCCGCUGCAGGGCAACGACACGCUGGUCUCGGCGCAGGGCAAGUUCGAGCUCGGCCUGUUCAGCCCCGCUGGCAGCUCCGACGGCAGGUUCUACCUCGGGAUCUGGUACAAGAACAUCCCCGGCCAGACCGUCGUCUGGGUCGGCAACCGCGCGACUCCAUUGUCUGGCGUCGCCUCGGCCGAGCUCCGGGUCUCUGCCGACGAUGGUAACCUCGAGCUCGUCGGUCCCACCGCUGCCUCCGCCUCGCCGGUCGUUGUGUGGUCAUCGAGCUUGUCGUCGUCGUCAUCACCGGGCUCGAACAACACGGCGGAGAUCCGCGACAACGGCAACCUGGUCCUUCUGGACGGCAGCAACUCCUCCAACGUGCUGUGGCAGAGCUUCGACCACCCCACGGACACGCUGGUUCCCGACGCGUGGCUCGGGGAGAACAAGCUCACCGGCGAGUACCAGGUGCUGACGUCGUGGCGGAACGCCCAAGACCCCGCGCCGGGAAUGUUCACCGACACGGUGGACCCCAACGGGACCAGCGAGUUCUUCUACAUGUGGAACCAGUCCCGCACGUACUGGCGCAGCGGCGUCUGGACGGGGCGCUUCUUCGCGACCAUGCCGGAGGCGACGAGGAACGUCCUCUUCAACCAGACGUACGUCGAGACGCCGGCGUACCGGCGCGUCAGCAACGCGCUCUACAACAGCACAACCAUCACGCGCAUGGUGCUCGAACUAACCGGCCAGACAAAGCAGUACAUCUGGGUGCCCGCGACCCAGAACUGGCAACUUUUCUGGGCCGCGCCCACCAUGCAGUGCGACGUGUACGCGCUCUGCGGCGCGUUCGGGGUCUGCGACCUGAGUAGCCAGCCGUCGUGCAGGUGCCCACCCGGGUUAGCUCCGACGUCGGAGCGGGACUGGACGGUCAGCGACUGGAGCGGUGGGUGCCGCCGGAGCGCGCCGCUCUGGUGCCCAUACAACGGCUCGACGACGGACGGGUUCGUGGUGCUACCGAACGUGAAGCUCCCCGACGACUCGCUCGCCAUGGGCGCUGUCCAGAGCAAAGCAGAGUGCGAGUCCGCCUGCCAAAAGAGCUGCUCUUGCGAGGCCUAUACCUUCUCCACCGGGAGGUGCGCCGUCUGGCACGGAGAGCUCCGAAACCUUCAGCAGCUCUACACGGACUCCGGUGUAUCCCGAUCGGACGUUUACCUCCGGCUCUCAGCAACAGGAUUGCGGGACCUCCACAACACGGUCAGUAAAGGCGGGAGAUUGUCAUGGCUUGUUCUUGUCAUGACAUUAGUAGGUGUUGCCGCACUGGGUGCGUCGGUAAUACUGGCCUGGAGGAUUCUCCUAGCCCGGAGGAGGCGACUGACAAACCAGAAGGGGUCGUCCUUGACCGUGUACAGCUACGGUGACCUCCAUGCCGCCACCAAUAACUUCUCGGAGAGGCUAGGUGGCGGCGGCUUCGGCUCGGUGUACCGCGGCAUCCUGAAGGAGCAAAAAGGAGGCAAGACGGCCCAAGUCCAAGUGGCAGUGAAGAAGCUGGAAAGUCUUGGUGGGCGGCAGGGCGACAAGCAGUUCCGGACGGAGGUGAGCACGCUGGGGCUCAUCCAGCACGUGAACCUCGUCCGUCUCCUCGGGUUUUGCUCGUCGGGCGACGAGAAGAUGCUCGUGUACGAGUACAUGCCUAGAGGCUCUCUUGAUGGCUACCUCUUUGACGGUGGCGCGUGCCCGAGCUGGCGCGAUCGGUACUGCAUCAUGAUCGGCGUGGCCAGAGGGUUGGCCUACUUGCACCACGGUUGCCAUGAGUGCAUCAUACACUGCGAUAUCAAGCCGGAGAACAUCCUGCUAGACGAGGACAUGUCCCCUAGGAUCGCCGAUUUCGGAAUGGCGAAGUUGGUGGGGAGGGACUUUAGCCGCGCGCUGACGACCAUGCGGGGCACCAUCGGGUACCUCGCGCCGGAGUGGAUCUUCGGGCAGCCCAUCAGUGCCAAGGCGGACGUAUACAGCUUUGGGAUGGUGCUCUUCGAGCUCAUCUCCGGACGACGCAACUCUGAGGGGUAUAGCGAGGUGCGGCAUGCGGCGGGGACUGUGCGGCGUGGAUCGUCAACCUUCUUCCCGGUCUGGGCCGCCGGGAAGGUCGUGGAAGGGGAGGUGGGCACCGUGGCUGACCUGCGGCUUCGUGGCGACGUGAUGCCAGAGGAGCUGGAGCGGGUGUGCAAGGUGGCAUGCUGGUGCAUCCAGGACGAGGAGGCGCAGCGCCCAACCAUGGUGCAAGUCGUGCAGGCGCUGGAGGGCACCGUACAUGUCCACACGCCGCCGGUGCUGCGGGCGCUGCAGCACCUUGUCAUGCUCACGUAA
RNAcentral lists this ribosomal RNA (2430 nucleotides) under Triticum aestivum (bread wheat). RNAcentral's name for it is "partial small subunit ribosomal RNA". The record is from RNAcentral. Lineage: Eukaryota; Viridiplantae; Streptophyta; Magnoliopsida; Poales; Poaceae.